GGGGGGGGGGGGGGGGGGGGGGGGGGGGGGGGGGGCGGGGGGGGACGUGCGGGGGGGAGCGGCGGAGGGGGGAGUAGCGCGUGGGAACGUGCCCGCGGGGUCGGAAUAACUCAGGGAAACUGGAGCUAAGACCGGAUACGCCCUUUUGGGGAAAGGCGUGCUGCCGGAGGAUCGGCCCGCGUAUGAUUAGCUAGUUGGUGAGGUAACGGCUCACCAAGGCGACGAUCAGUAGCUGGUCUGAGAGGAUGAUCAGCCACACUGGGACUGAGACACGGCCCAGACUCCUACGGGAGGCAGCAGUGGGGAAUAUUGGACAAUGGGCGCAAGCCUGAUCCAGCCAUGCCGCGUGAGUGAUGAAGGCCUUAGGGUUGUAAAGCUCUUUUAUCCGGGACGAUAAUGACGGUACCGGAGGAAUAAGCCCCGGCUAACUUCGUG
This 435-nucleotide ribosomal RNA is filed under the name uncultured bacterium. RNAcentral's name for it is "partial 16S ribosomal RNA". It matches the Rfam family "Bacterial small subunit ribosomal RNA", at positions 39 to 507 of the family's 1533-position model. The record is from RNAcentral.